AAUUUUGGACCUCUAUGUAGUAGAGAGUAGCUUGGUAGGCCUAUAGUUGCUCUUAGCAUUCUAUAUGAGACGUGGUUCCAUGCUCCUAUAGUGUAAAUGAGAUUGGAUUCAUGCAUUUAAACCUAAGUUUAUUUGGGACAUGAAAGUUGACAAAAUUGCCAUAUAGAGCUAUCGAACUAGAAUGUAUGUGAAUUGGAGAGCUAAUGUCAUCAAGCGGCAUUGAGCUCGGGACAUGUGUGAACCUAGUGGUUAGAGCCAUUGAGGGAUUGGGUAUAUGUUGAACAUUAGAUUGUCUAAGUGUCAUCAAGGGGCACUAGGC
Molecule: long non-coding RNA, 319 nt
Filed under: Ananas comosus (pineapple)
Lineage: Eukaryota; Viridiplantae; Streptophyta; Magnoliopsida; Poales; Bromeliaceae
Description: long non-coding RNA (ACOM_LNC041710)
Source: RNAcentral